RNAcentral lists this ribosomal RNA (229 nucleotides) under uncultured bacterium. RNAcentral describes it as "partial 16S ribosomal RNA". It matches the Rfam family "Bacterial small subunit ribosomal RNA", at positions 568 to 796 of the family's 1533-position model. The record is from RNAcentral.
UACGUAGGCGGGAAAUUAAGUCAGUAGUGAAAUCCCACAGCUUAACUGUGGAACUGUUAUUGAUACUGGUUUUCUUGAAUAUAGUUGAGGUAGGCGGAAUGUGUAAUGUAGCGGUGAAAUGCUUAGAUAUUACACAGAACACCGAUUGCGAAGGCAGCUUACUAAACUAUGAUUGACGCUGAGGUACGAAAGCGUGGGGAGCGAACAGGAUUAGAUACCCUGGUAGUCC